Molecule: ribosomal RNA, 5115 nt
Filed under: Candidatus Levyibacteriota bacterium
Lineage: Bacteria; Candidatus Levyibacteriota
Description: 23S ribosomal RNA
Rfam family: Bacterial large subunit ribosomal RNA (bases 1-3542)
Source: RNAcentral
CCGAGGAAGGACGCAGACGGCGGCGAUACUCGUUGGGGAGGUGCCAUCAACCUUUGAUCCAGCGGUUUCCGAAUGGAGCAAUCCACUCGUCUUUGACGAGGAGCCACUCAUAAAAAUAUUACCGCAAGGUUUUAUAUAGUGUUUGGCAGGGUACGGCGCGAACCGAAACAUCCAAGUAGCGCCAGGAAAAUAAAUCAUAGACCCCGUUAGAACUUUGGUAGUAAAACUUGUUACGUUAAGAAAGAUUUUGCUAACUUAACUUGAGAAGAGACUUUAUUUCCAGAGUUCUAACGGGGUAGAGAUUCCGUUAGUAGCGGCGAGCGAAAGCGGAACAGUCUAAAGCGUGCGUAGCACGCAACAGUCAACCAACAACACUUCGCCUUUGGCGAAUUUCAACAAACAACAAAAAUUGUUGUGAGUUGUUUGUUGUAAGUUGAAGGUUGCAUGCUGCGCAUGCGGUUGCAGGGCAGACGAUAUUCGAUGUAUUUUUUGUAGCAGAAGGACCCGGAAUGGUCCCCCAAAGAAAGUGAAAGGCUCGUACGCAAAACAAAAAAUACCGAUAGUUUGUUCCUAAGUACCAUGGAGCACGAUAAAACUCUGUGGGAAUCUGGGGCGUCCACGCUCCAAGACUAAAUACCAGAAUCUACCGAUAGUGAACUAGUACCGUGAGGGAAAGGUGAAAAGCACCCCGGAAGGGGAAUGAAAUAGAACUGAAAUUGUCGGCUGACAAGCAGGCAGAGGAACGUAACGCGCAAGCGUGUACGUUCUGAUGCCGUGCCUAUUGAAGAAUGAACCGGUGAGUUAUUCCCUCACUUUCGUCUAAGCCAUUAAGUGGCGCAGGCAAAGUGAAAGCAAGCUCUAAUUGAGCAUUUUUAAAGUGUGGGAUUAGACCCGAAGCUGGGUGAGCUAACCUUGGGCAGGGUGAAUCCCGAUGAAAAUCGGGAGGAGGCCCGAACUCGUGACUGUAGCAAUAGUCUGAGAUGACCUGAGGUUAGGGGCAAUAUGCCAAUCGAACCCAGAGAUAGCUGGUUCUCCCCGAAAUAUAUUUAGGUAUAGCGGUCGCCAUGUAGUUGCCUGGGGUAGAGCACUAAAUGGUUCGCGGCAACGCAAGUUGUCGUAACCAAUUAAACUCCGAAUACAGAGCAACAUUGGGCGACUAGUCAGACUGGUCGGGCUAAGCCGAUGGGUCAAAAGGGAAACAACCCAGACUCCCAAUUAAGGUCUCUAAAUAAAAGCUAAGUUUAGAAGGAAGUCAAGUUCCAUAGACAACCAGGAGGUUGGCUUAGAAGCAGCCAUCCUUUAAAGAAAGCGUAACAGCUCACUGGCGGAUUGGAAUUUGGCGCCCAAAAUUUAACGAGGAUUAAGCUUUUUACCGAAGUUGGAGGAACGUACACUUUUGCUUUGCAAAAUGUUACGUUCGGUAGGGGAGCGUUCUAAGUGCAGCGAAGUCGUGGUGUAAACCAUGGUGGAGUGCUUAGAAGUGAGAAUGCCGGUAUGAGUAGCGAGUGUCUGGUGAGAAACCAGGCCGCCGAAAACCCAAGGUUUCCUCCGCAAUGUAAAUCAGCGGAGGGUUAGUCGGUCCUAAGGGUGUUCCUCUUUGGUCCUAAGGGUGUUCCUCUUUUGGGGAGUAGCCCGAUGGGCAAGUCGUUGAGAUUCGACUACAAAUUAUACAUAUUCUAAGGGGAAGUCGAAGAUAGAAGAAUCAAGGCCAGCUAAGCUGGCUUUAAGUAGUGAAAUAGGAUGAAAUGGUAAAUACGUUCAUCUGUUUAAUUAAGCUACGAUGAAAACCCUGAGAGCAAUCGAAGGGUAUUUGAUCGCUUUUAACUUCCGAGAAAUAUCCCAUUAGUUCCAUUCAUUUGUGAAAAAAUGUAUAUUUUACCGUACCGACAUCCGACACAGGUGGGUUGGUCGAGAAGACUAAGGCGAACGGGAGAAAGAUGGUCAAGGAACUCGGCAAUAAAUCUGGGCGUAACUUUUGGAGAUGCCCUACCAGCUACCAUGCGGUACCUGGUUGCAACAAAAGAUUAUUAAGCGACUGUUUAUCUAAAACACAGGUCCAUGCAAAACUGAAAAGUUAAGUAUAUGGGCUGAAGCCUGCCCAGUGCUGGUAAGUCAAAAGUUGAGAAUCAGGCUCGCAAGAGUCAAAGUUUUUAACUUAAGCUCCAGUAAACGGCAGCAGUAACUAUAAGAAAUUGUAGUUGUAAAAGUCGACUAAAUGCUGGAAAAUCCGUACCGUGAUUCUGCUUUACAGAACAAACGGUUGCAGUAUCUGACGCUACCAUGUAUUAUGGUAAUAAUGCGAUCAGUGCGGACAAUCAGCAGGAAAGACUUGACGAAGAAAGAGCUAGGAUUUUUCCUUGCUGGGUUUGUUGAAGGAGAAGGAAGUUUUAAUGUCUCGUUACGGCGCAAGCCUGACUAUAGACUCAAAUGGCAAGCGGUAAUGAGUUUUAAUGUUUCGCAAAAAGACCCUACCUUAUUAAAAAUUUUAAAGGAGGAGCUAAAAUGCGGAAUUAUUAAAACACGUAAAAGAGACAAUCUAUAUUCCUUUGAUGCAACAAAUCCUAAGGAUCUAAUCCAGAAAGUCAUUCCAUAUUUCAAAAAAUAUCCAGUUCAAUCUGAUUCUAAAAAGAAUAAUUUUUCUAUUUUUUGCAAGAUAGCAAAAUUAAUGGAAAAAGGGGAACACAGAAAUUUGGCUGGAUUAAGGUUAAUCCUAAAACUUCGAGAGAAAAUAAACAUUGGAGCAGGAAGAACAAGGAAAUAUGAUAUAGAUGAUGUUUUUUCUAAGUCAGGAAUCCUCAGAGACUAUACGUCGACGUCCCGCUCAGCGGGACAUGAUAUAGUCCGACCUCAUGAACGAUCAUGAGACUCUGUAAUCAAUCAGAGUACCGCGAUUAGCGGGAUAACAAUGUGAACUGUUCUAAGGUAGCGAAGCCCCUUGUCGGGUGAUGGAAAAAGCCCGAAAACUGGCUUAAAACGGUGAAGCCCUACCAUGUUGCAUCGUACAAGACGAUGUGUAAAAAUAGAGGGUGAUACCGUGGGUAAGACUUUCUUUUAAAAGAGAGAACCUGUAACGACUUGUCCCGCCAAAGGCGGGACAGAGACAUAAUUUUUAUGUCUAAUACGCCAGCAUUUAGUAUAGAUUUCAUUGGACAUUAUCUUUCAGGAGAUGCCGAAGCCCUAUAAAAAUCGGGCAGAAGGACAAUGUCUGGUGGGCAGUUUAACUGGGACGGUUGACUCCUACAAUGCAACGGAGUCGUACAAAGGUUGGCUAGCUCCGGAUGGAAAUCGGAGUGAUAGUGCAAAGGCAUAAGCCAGCUUGACUGCGAGACUUACAAGUCGAGCAGGGACGAAAGUCGGUCUUAGUGAUCCUCAGUAGCAUAGUGGUAUGCUCUGAGCUUAACGGAUAAAAGCUACCCUGGGGAUAACAGGCUUAUCGCAUCCAAGCGUUCACAGCGACGAUGCGGUUUGGCACCUCGAUGUCGGCUUAACACAAAUAGUGUUUGGGCCCUUCAGUAAAUAAUUACUGUUGUAAAUUUGGCUAAUAACGGUGGACUCCUAAUUGACUAAGUAAAGUUUCUCAAGUUAUGAUAAAGUCAAUGGACAAUACCGUGGGAAGUCGCAUUUUUCAGAACACUCGGAAGACUCGGUUUUCCAGGAACAUCAGAAUAUCUGGCUAUCAGAUUGUCUGAGCCUCUGGUUUACUGAGUAAUAAUCUGAGUUUUCUGAAAUAUUGUUGACCCCGUAACGACUGAUUCUUUAGCAAACUAAAUUGAACCCUUAGUUUGUAAUAGAUGAGAUUCCAGUUUUUGGAAUCAUACGCCGAACCCCUCUCUUUUUUCAAAAAAGUGGGGGUGAUGAUAUAGUCUACACUUCUAGUAACAGAAGAUUCAUGUGCAUCGCAUCCUGGGGGUGGAGAAGCUCCCAAGGGUCGGGCUGUUCGCCCGUUAAAGCGGUACGCGAGCUGGGUUCAGAACGUCGUAAGACAGUAGACCUAUAGCGUUAAUUACGCUAUUAAAUGAGCUGUCUAUAAAUCUAGCUAUUUGCUGGAAACUCCGAGUAUCUUCAACUACUUGACAAAUGACUUAUCGUAGAGAUACGAUAUCUCUAUGUCUAGUGAUAAUGUUGGAAGUGCGGACAAUCAGCAGGCAGCUGGGAAAGAAAUUUCUAAUGAGUAUUUAGCAGGAUUCACCGAUGGUGAAGGGUGUUUCUAUGUGGGAUUUGGUAAGAGAAAAGACCUGCCGCUUAAAUGGCAAGUAAUUACCGAAUUUCAUGUAAGUCAAAAUCCAGGCGGGAAAAAUGUUUUGGAAGAGUUCAGAGAAAGGCUUGGUUGUGGCUAUUUAAAGCCCAAUCAUGCAAAGAGCUUGAAAGACAAAACUUGGAUUUUAAUUGUGAAAGAUAGAAAGGAUUUAAAAGAAAAACUUAUUCCUUUUUUUCAGCAACACAGAUUGCACACAAGCAAACAAAAAGAUUUUGAAAUCUUUGUAAAAGUGCUUGAAAAAAUUGAAACGGGAAAGCAUUUAACUAAAGAUGGUUUUAAACAAAUCGUUGAAUUAGUUUUUGCCACUACCAGGGUAACAAAUAAAAGAUAUUCAAAAGAAUCACUUCUUUCCUAGAGCCUCAGAGACUACAUGCUAGAUGAUGCAUUGAAUAGUGCGUCAAAGAUAUAGUCCGAACUGCAUGGCGACAUGUAGAGCGUAUCAGAAAUGCUACGUCAUUCGUAAGAAUGUAACAUAUUGUCGGUCUCUAUCCAGGACAACCGAUUGAGAUUUGAGGAGAUUCGCCCCUAGUACGAGAGGACUGGGAUGAGGAAAUCCCUGGUGUGCCAGUUGUUCUUACAAGAGCAUCGCUGGGUAACUAUAUUUCCAACGGAUAACCGCUGAAAGCAUCUAAGUGGGAAGCCGUCUCCAAUAUUAGAUCUCUAGCGUGCGUAGCACGCAACAGUCAACAAUCAACACAGCCGAUUCAAUCGGCUUUUCAACAGACAACAAAAUUGUUGUAAGUUGUUUGUGGUAAGUUGAAAGUUGCAUGCUGCGCAUGCAUAAGCCCCUUGUAGAUCACGAGGUUGAUAGGCAGGCAGUGGAAGAACCGCAAGGUUUUAAGCUUACCUGUACUAAU